GACGAACGCUGGCGGCGUGCCUAAUACAUGCAAGUUGAGCGCUGAAGGUUGGUACUUGUACCAACUGGAUGAGCAGCGGACGGGUGAGUAACGCGUGGGGAAUCUGCCUUUGAGCGGGGGACAACAUUUGGAAACGAAUGCUAAUACCGCAUAAAAACUUUAAACACAAGUUUUAAGUUUGAAAGAUGCAAUUGCAUCACUCAAAGAUGAUCCCGCGUUGUAUUAGCUAGUUGGUGAGGUAAAGGCUCACCAAGGCGAUGAUACAUAGCCGACCUGAGAGGGUGAUCGGCCACAUUGGGACUGAGACACGGCCCAAACUCCUACGGGAGGCAGCAGUAGGGAAUCUUCGGCAAUGGACGAAAGUCUGACCGAGCAACGCCGCGUGCGUGAAGAAGGUUUUCGGAUCGUAAAACUCUGUUGGUAGAGAAGAACGUUGGUGAGAGUGGAAAGCUCAUCAAGUGACGGUAACUACCCAGAAAGGGACGGCUAACUACGUG
Molecule: ribosomal RNA, 497 nt
Filed under: uncultured bacterium
Lineage: Bacteria
Description: partial 16S ribosomal RNA
Rfam family: Bacterial small subunit ribosomal RNA
Source: RNAcentral